This 844-nucleotide ribosomal RNA is filed under the name Cellulosimicrobium sp. 73NP2. RNAcentral's name for it is "bacterial SSU rRNA". It matches the Rfam family "Bacterial small subunit ribosomal RNA", at positions 89 to 948 of the family's 1533-position model. Lineage: Bacteria; Bacillati; Actinomycetota; Actinomycetes; Micrococcales; Promicromonosporaceae. The record is from RNAcentral.
GGAUCAGCGGCGAACGGGUGAGUAACACGUGAGCAACCUGCCCCUGACUCUGGGAUAGCCUCGGGAAACCGGGAUUAAUACCGGAUAUGACACCUCCUCGCAUGGGGUGGUGUGGAAAGUUUUUCGGUCAGGGAUGGGCUCGCGGCCUAUCAGCUUGUUGGUGGGGUGAUGGCCUACCAAGGCGACGACGGGUAGCCGGCCUGAGAGGGUGACCGGCCACACUGGGACUGAGACACGGCCCAGACUCCUACGGGAGGCAGCAGUGGGGAAUAUUGCGCAAUGGGCGAAAGCCUGACGCAGCGACGCCGCGUGAGGGAUGAAGGCCUUCGGGUUGUAAACCUCUUUCAGCAGGGAAGAAGCGCAAGUGACGGUACCUGCAGAAGAAGCACCGGCUAACUACGUGCCAGCAGCCGCGGUAAUACGUAGGGUGCAAGCGUUGUCCGGAAUUAUUGGGCGUAAAGAGCUCGUAGGCGGUUUGUCGCGUCUGCUGUGAAAACGCGGGGCUCAACUCCGCGCCUGCAGUGGGUACGGGCAGACUAGAGUGCAGUAGGGGAGACUGGAAUUCCUGGUGUAGCGGUGGAAUGCGCAGAUAUCAGGAGGAACACCGGUGGCGAAGGCGGGUCUCUGGGCUGUAACUGACGCUGAGGAGCGAAAGCGUGGGUAGCGAACAGGAUUAGAUACCCUGGUAGUCCACGCCGUAAACGUUGGGCGCUAGGUGUGGGCCUCAUUCCACGAGGUCCGUGCCGCAGCUAACGCAUUAAGCGCCCCGCCUGGGGAGUACGGCCGCAAGGCUAAACUCAAGGAAUUGACGGGGCCCCGCACAAGCGGCGGAGCAUGCGGAUUA